UUUGCCGGGCGCAGUCUGCCCGCCUGCCGCGUGCAGGAUGAAGGCGUUAUGCGUUGUAAACUGCUUUUAUACAGGAAGAAACGACUCUUGCGAGAGGCAUUGACGGUACUGUAUGAAUAAGCACCGGCUAACUCCGUGCCAGCAGCCGCGGUAAUACGGAGGGUGCAAGCGUUGUCCGGAUUUAUUGGGUUUAAAGGGUGCGCAGGUGGUUUAUUAAGUCAGUGGUGAAAGACGGUCGCUCAACGAUUGCAGUGCCAUUGAAACUGGUAGACUUGAGUAAAGUAGAGGUGGGCGGAAUUGAUAGUGUAGCGGUGAAAUGCAUAGAUAUUAUCAAGAACUCCAAUUGCGUAGGCAGCUCACUUGGCUUUUACUGACACUCAUGCACGAAA
This 389-nucleotide ribosomal RNA is filed under the name uncultured bacterium. Its description in RNAcentral is "bacterial SSU rRNA". It matches the Rfam family "Bacterial small subunit ribosomal RNA", at positions 359 to 758 of the family's 1533-position model. The record is from RNAcentral.